RNAcentral lists this ribosomal RNA (305 nucleotides) under uncultured bacterium. Its description in RNAcentral is "bacterial SSU rRNA". It matches the Rfam family "Bacterial small subunit ribosomal RNA", at positions 337 to 640 of the family's 1533-position model. The record is from RNAcentral.
CCCUACGGGGCGCAGCAGUGAGGAAUAUUGGUCAAUGGGCGAGAGCCUGAACCAGCCAAGUCGUGUGAGGGAAGACGGUCCUAUGGAUUGUAAACCUCUUUUGCCGGGGAGCAAAAAGCGGUACGUGUACCGCAUCGAGAGUACCCGGAGAAAAAGCAUCGGCUAACUCCGUGCCAGCAGCCGCGGUAAUACGGAGGAUGCGAGCGUUAUCCGGAUUUAUUGGGUUUAAAGGGUGCGCAGGCGGCGAGUUAAGUCAGCGGUAAAAUUUCGGGGCUCAACCCCGGCGAGCCGUUGAAACUGGCUUG